AUUGAACGCUGGCGGCAGGCCUAACACAUGCAAGUCGGACGAGUGGCGGACGGGUGAGUAAUGUAUGGGGAACUGCCUGAUGGAGGGGGAUAACUACUGGAAACGGUAGCUAAUACCGCAUACCAUCAGAUGCACCCAGAUGGGAUUAGCUUGUAGGUGGGGUAACGGCGCACCAAGGCGACGAUCCCUAGCUGGUCUGAGAGGAUGAGCAGCCACACUUGAACUGAGACACGGGCCAGACUGCUACGGGAGGCAGCAGUGGGGAAUAUUUGACAAUGGGCGCAAGCCUGAUUCAGCCAUCGCGCGUGUAGGAAGAAGGCCUUCGGGUUGUAAAGUACUUUCAGGCGGGAGGCGUUACCGACAGAAGAAGCACCGGCUAACUCCGUGCCAGCAGCCGCGGUAAUUC
This 406-nucleotide ribosomal RNA is filed under the name uncultured bacterium. RNAcentral describes it as "partial 16S ribosomal RNA". It matches the Rfam family "Bacterial small subunit ribosomal RNA", at positions 30 to 526 of the family's 1533-position model. The record is from RNAcentral.